UCUGGCUGGCCGUGGGGACGGGGGUGUCUUUCCCUCCCGGUGGGUUUUCGCGUGGCAACAUGAAGGCUCAACUUGCCUUCCCUGGUGUUUACACAGUUCCUGGUGUGAGCAACAGUUAUAUCUUCUUGACAGCCUUUGAAGGAGGAUGUCAUUGGCAGACUGGAGACACUUAAGCAAUCCUGCCUACACCCCCAGCCUGCCCAUCAUGACCGUUUUUACCCAUGAUGGUUGACCUGUGGAAGCAGGAUGGGAGGACAAGGACUGCGUGAAGAACAGCAGAUAACUGCAUGUUAAAUUCCCUGGGUGUGGAAAACUCAGAAUGUUCUCAAAAGAAAACAAAUACAGGAAUAGGAUACAUUGGAA
Chroicocephalus ridibundus (black-headed gull) is the source of this 363-nucleotide long non-coding RNA. RefSeq lists it as uncharacterized. The transcript has 3 exons. Lineage: Eukaryota; Metazoa; Chordata; Aves; Charadriiformes; Laridae. The record is from RefSeq and is a predicted model, not a curated record.